GGGGGUAUAGCUCAGGGGUAGAGCAUUUGACUGCAGAUCAAGAGGGCCCUGGUUCAAAUCCAGGUGCCCCCU
This 72-nucleotide transfer RNA is filed under the name Otolemur garnettii (small-eared galago). RNAcentral describes it as "tRNA-Cys (GCA) (tRNA-Cys-GCA-10-1)". It matches the Rfam family "tRNA". Rfam says of the family: Transfer RNA (tRNA) molecules are approximately 80 nucleotides in length. Lineage: Eukaryota; Metazoa; Chordata; Mammalia; Primates; Galagidae. The record is from Rfam by way of RNAcentral.